CACGUGCUGCUGUCAGGAAGGUUAGGGCUGUGGGGGGUUAAGAGAGUUUCCCACUGGGUUGUAUAAGCUCCUGUCAAAUGAGGAGAUAGUCUCCCUCAUGAGAAGAGUGAAGGUGGUUUGUGGAGGCAUGCCGACUUUCCACUGUAAACUUCAUGUCGGUGCCAAAUUACAGAAGAGCCUCUUCUCCCGUCUUCCUCUCUCCCCCAACUCCUUCCCUUGCUGGAAAGCAAUUUAUUCUCAAGUCAGGGAGAGUCUGCUGCCUGGAUGUUCUGACUGCCUAUUUCACUCUGGCCUUGUUUACCUGGGUUUCAUUUAAUUAAGAUCUACUGACAUCCAUUAACACAAUUUGUAAACUCUGUGCCAGAUGCUACAGAAUAAGAAGGAUGAGAAAAACCGUCAAGAAACUUACAAUUUCAGAGGUAAAGCAAAACAAGUACAAAGAGCAAUUAACACAAAGCAAAGCAAAGCAAAACAAGGAUCACGAGGUGUAUAUCAGCUCUUCACACUGGAGUCCAAAGAAAAGGCAGCUGUGUUUCCAGCAGCUCAUUCUCAGAGAAAGCACGUUAAGACAAACCACAGAAGCAGCUGGGCUGUGUGUUACCUACUUGUUUAUACAUUCCUGUCAUUAAAAACUACGGGUUGACACACAUCGAUGACUCCGCUAUUGUACUGAUGUGUAUUGAGUGCUGUUUUGCAAAGAUGCUUUAAAAAGAUAAUUUCCCUCUGCAUGUCUUUUUCUUCAUUUUAUUUAUGUUUUUUUAACAUAAUAGGUUCUGGUUUGUGUA
RNAcentral lists this long non-coding RNA (785 nucleotides) under Mustela putorius furo (domestic ferret). RNAcentral describes it as "lncRNA (ENSMPUG00000030087.1)". Lineage: Eukaryota; Metazoa; Chordata; Mammalia; Carnivora; Mustelidae. The record is from RNAcentral.